This 428-nucleotide ribosomal RNA is filed under the name uncultured archaeon. RNAcentral's name for it is "bacterial SSU rRNA". It matches the Rfam family "Archaeal small subunit ribosomal RNA", at positions 474 to 903 of the family's 1478-position model. The record is from RNAcentral.
UACCAGCUCUUCGAGUGGUGUGGAUGUUUAUUGGGCCUAAAGCAUCCGUAGCUGGCUGGGCAAGUCCCCUGUUAAAUCCACCGAUUUAAUCGUUGGAGUGCGGGGGAUACUGUUCGGCUAGGGGACGGGAGAGGCAGACGGUAUUUUCGGGGUAGGGGUGAAAUCCUAUAAUCCCGGGAAGACCACCAGUGGCGAAGGCUGUCUGAUAGAACGCGCCCGACGGUGAGGGAUGAAAGCUGGGGGAGCGAACCGGAUUAGAUACCCGGGUAGUCCCAGCUGUAAACGAUGCAGGCUAGGUGUUUGGGCGGCCACGUGCCGCUCUAGUGCCGCAGGGAAGCCGUUAAGCCUGCCGCCUGGGGAGUACGGCCGCAAGGCUGAAACUUAAAGGAAUUGGCGGGGAGCACCACAAGGGGUGAAGCUUGCGGUUU